AGCUUCGCCAACUAGGACAGGGUCACCACAACAGCAUAUGCCAAUUACUGUGGGCCCUUUUUACCUAACCCACCCUGUCAACUUUUCCCUGUGGGAGGAAACCGGAGUACCCGGGGAAAACCCACGGCGUUCGGCAGAGCGUUGACUUUUACUCUUUUCACAUGGGGACUGGGUUCGAGUCGCACUGAGAAAGUACUUAGUGAGAUUCGAACCUGCAGCCUCAGAGGUGAAAGGCAAGUGCGCUAACCACUUGGCCACCGU
RNAcentral lists this long non-coding RNA (261 nucleotides) under Paramuricea clavata. Lineage: Eukaryota; Metazoa; Cnidaria; Anthozoa; Malacalcyonacea; Plexauridae. The record is from RNAcentral.